AUUGAACGCUGGCGGCAUGCCUUACACAUGCAAGUCGAACGGCAGCACGGGAGCAAUCCUGGUGGCGAGUGGCGAACGGGUGAGUAAUAUAUCGGAACGUGCCCAGUAGUGGGGGAUAACUGCUCGAAAGAGCAGCUAAUACCGCAUACGACCUGAGGGUGAAAGCGGGGGACCGUAAGGCCUCGCGCGAUUGGAGCGGCCGAUGUCAGAUUAGGUAGUUGGUGAGGUAAAGGCUCACCAAGCCGACGAUCUGUAGCUGGUCUGAGAGGACGACCAGCCACACUGGGACUGAGACACGGCCCAGACUCCUACGGGAGGCAGCAGUGGGGAAUUUUGGACAAUGGGCGCAAGCCUGAUCCAGCCAUUCCGCGUGCAGGACGAAGGCCUUCGGGUUGUAAACUGCUUUUGUACGGAACGAAAAGGCUCUGGUUAAUACCUGGGGCUCAUGACGGUACCGUAAGAAUAAGCACCGGCUAACUACGUGCCAGCAGCCGCAGUAA
This 500-nucleotide ribosomal RNA is filed under the name uncultured bacterium. RNAcentral's name for it is "partial 16S ribosomal RNA". It matches the Rfam family "Bacterial small subunit ribosomal RNA", at positions 30 to 523 of the family's 1533-position model. The record is from RNAcentral.